UCUAAUUAAAAUAUUAUAUAUAUGUAACUUGACUAGAAAAACGUGUAGAAUAACAUGAUAUAGUUUAUUUUCCUAUUUAAUAAAUAUCAAAAUAUGGUUAGUUUAGAUCUUGUCCAAUUUCAAAAAUUGCAAAUGGGGUUCUUUCGAAAAUAUUAUAUGUUGUUUUCGGCCUCAUUUAAAAUGCCUAGAUGAUAUAUUUGUUCAUGCUUCACCUCUUGCCAUGAUUAACAAUGUUUAAAAUGAUUGCUUAGUUAAAACAACAUUAAUCACAUUUCUCUUACAUAUGGAAUGUUAAUAUUUUGUUAUAUGUAUGUUCUCCUUCUCCAUUAAAAAUUGCUUAAUUCCAUCUUCACCUUAUGUCAUGACCACCCAUGUUUAAUAAGAUUUAAUAUUGUCGUGUACCUAAAUGGGAGUGAACUAAGUAAUUUAAAUGUAGAGUUUCGUUAAUAUGCAACUCGAUGCAUAUUGAGCUUCACUUAAUGUAUAGAAGUUGAUUGUUGUGCUUCACUUAAUGUAUAUCACUUCUAUCGAUAUCUCUUGUUACCUACCACGUGAAUGUCAAGGCUCUCAACAUUGUCAUGAAAAGCCUCUAACCCCUUCACAUCCCAGCAAACCUUUGUUUGGAUAUGUUGUCGCUUGCUCAUCCGUUCUUAUAGCGUUGCUAGUUGCAGGUAGAAGUUGCUUCCAUGUGAAAGCAUGGAUUUCUUGAGAUGUCACAAUAGUAUAGCUAUUUUAUUUAAUGCACCUAUAUAGUUUGUAAAAUGUGGAAAGCUUGGACUUUUGAUCGGUGUUCUGUUGCACCUUUGUCGCCCUAGUUACUUAUGUACCGGUGUUAUGUUCUAUAUUGAGCGCUCCUAAAAUGCUUGGGUUUUUUAUGGGGACCCCCUUGAUAAUUUGUUUUAGGUUAAAUCUCUUUUGGCAAGGCCCAACAUUUGUA
Molecule: long non-coding RNA, 937 nt
Filed under: Hordeum vulgare
Lineage: Eukaryota; Viridiplantae; Streptophyta; Magnoliopsida; Poales; Poaceae
Description: long non-coding RNA (HVUL_LNC009818)
Source: RNAcentral